RNAcentral lists this small nuclear RNA (61 nucleotides) under Carlito syrichta (Philippine tarsier). RNAcentral's name for it is "U7 small nuclear RNA (ENSTSYG00000030705.1)". It matches the Rfam family "U7 small nuclear RNA". Rfam says of the family: Animal histone pre-mRNAs are spliced by a different mechanism than nuclear pre-mRNAs and self-splicing introns. Lineage: Eukaryota; Metazoa; Chordata; Mammalia; Primates; Tarsiidae. The record is from Rfam by way of RNAcentral.
UACUAUUACAGUCCUUUUAGAAUUUUCUAGCAGGCUUUCCGGUCUAUGAUGGAAAGCACUC